Molecule: ribosomal RNA, 484 nt
Filed under: uncultured bacterium
Lineage: Bacteria
Description: partial 16S ribosomal RNA
Rfam family: Bacterial small subunit ribosomal RNA
Source: RNAcentral
AUUGAACGCUGGCGGCAGGCCUAACACAUGCAAGUCGAGCGGAUGAAGGGAGCUUGCUCCUGGAUUCAGCGGCGGACGGGUGAGUAAUGCCUAGGAAUCUGCCUGGUAGUGGGGGAUAACGUCCGGAAACGGGCGCUAAUACCGCAUACGUCCUGAGGGAGAAAGUGGGGGAUCUUCGGACCUCACGCUAUCAGAUGAGCCUAGGUCGGAUUAGCUAGUUGGUGGGGUAAAGGCCUACCAAGGCGACGAUCCGUAACUGGUCUGAGAGGAUGAUCAGUCACACUGGAACUGAGACACGGUCCAGACUCCUACGGGAGGCAGCAGUGGGGAAUAUUGGACAAUGGGCGAAAGCCUGAUCCAGACAUGCCGCGUGUGUGAAGAAGGUCUUCGGAUCGUAAAGCACUUUAAGUUGGGAGGAAGGGCAGUAAGUUAAUAACUUGCUGUUUUGACGUUACCAACAGAAUAAGCACCGGCUAACUUCGUG